RNAcentral lists this ribosomal RNA (449 nucleotides) under uncultured bacterium. RNAcentral's name for it is "partial 16S ribosomal RNA". It matches the Rfam family "Bacterial small subunit ribosomal RNA", at positions 29 to 523 of the family's 1533-position model. The record is from RNAcentral.
AACGAACGCUGGCGGCAUGCCUAACACAUGCAAGUCGAACGAAGGCUUCGGCCUUAGUGGCGCACGGGUGAGUAACGCGUGGGAAACUGCCUAUUGGUGGGGAAUAACGACGGGAAACUGUCGCUAAUACCGCAUAAGCCCUUCGGGGGAAAGAUUUAUCGCCGAUAGAUGUGCCCGCGUCCGAUUAGCUAGUUGGUGAGGUAAUGGCUCACCAAGGCGACGAUCGGUAGCUGGUCUGAGAGGAUGAUCAGCCACACUGGGACUGAGACACGGCCCAGACUCCUACGGGAGGCAGCAGUGGGGAAUAUUGGACAAUGGGCGAAAGCCUGAUCCAGCAAUGCCGCGUGAGUGAUGAAGGCCUUAGGGUUGUAAAGCUCUUUCGGGUGGGAAGAUAAUGACGGUAGUCGGAGAAGAAGCCCCGGCUAACUUCGUGCCAGCCGCCGCGGUAA